AACCAAACAAAAACAAUAUGCCUCUGAAU
This 29-nucleotide non-coding RNA is filed under the name Mus musculus (house mouse). The record is from RNAcentral. Lineage: Eukaryota; Metazoa; Chordata; Mammalia; Rodentia; Muridae.